This is an unclassified non-coding RNA of Pongo abelii (Sumatran orangutan), 117 nucleotides long. It matches the Rfam family "Metazoan signal recognition particle RNA". Rfam says of the family: The signal recognition particle (SRP) is a universally conserved ribonucleoprotein. It is involved in the co-translational targeting of proteins to membranes. The record is from Ensembl. Lineage: Eukaryota; Metazoa; Chordata; Mammalia; Primates; Hominidae.
GCUGGGCGUGGUGGCUCACGCCUGUAAUCCCAGCACUUUGGGAGGUCGAGGUGGGUGGAUCACCUGAGGUCAGGAGUUUGAGACCAGCCUGACCAACAUGGAGAAACCCCAUCUCUA